Molecule: small nucleolar RNA, 78 nt
Filed under: Nicotiana sylvestris (wood tobacco)
Lineage: Eukaryota; Viridiplantae; Streptophyta; Magnoliopsida; Solanales; Solanaceae
Also listed under: 1 other name
Description: Small nucleolar RNA snoR109
Rfam family: Small nucleolar RNA snoR109
Source: Rfam by way of RNAcentral
UGAGUACCAAAUUGAGAAGUUUACUGGCCGGUUUUUGUUUUGCUGUCGACAUAUCUGCUUACUGAACUUCUUACAUUU